This 253-nucleotide ribosomal RNA is filed under the name uncultured bacterium. Its description in RNAcentral is "partial 16S ribosomal RNA". It matches the Rfam family "Bacterial small subunit ribosomal RNA", at positions 524 to 776 of the family's 1533-position model. The record is from RNAcentral.
UACGUAGGGGGCAAGCGUUGUCCGGAAUCAUUGGGCGUAAAGCGCGUGUAGGCGGCUCGAUAAGUCUGCUGUGAAAGUCCAGGGCUCAACCCUGGGAUGCCGGUGGAUACUGUCGAGCUCCAGUCCGGAAGAGGCGAGUGGAAUUCCUGGUGUAGCGGUGAAAUGCGCAGAUAUCAGGAGGAACACCAAUGGCGAAGGCAGCUCGCUGGGACGUGACUGACGCUGAGACGCGAAAGCGUGGGGAGCGAACAGG